RNAcentral lists this small nuclear RNA (107 nucleotides) under Tupaia belangeri chinensis (Chinese tree shrew). The record is from RNAcentral. Lineage: Eukaryota; Metazoa; Chordata; Mammalia; Scandentia; Tupaiidae.
GUGCUCACUUUGGUAGCACAUAUACUAAAAUUGGAACAAUACAGAGAAGAUUAUCAUGGCCUCUGCACAAAGAUGACAAGUAAAUUUGUGAAGCACUCCAUGUUUUU